This is a long non-coding RNA of Hyla sarda, 543 nucleotides long. RefSeq lists it as uncharacterized. The transcript is spliced from 3 exons. The record is from RefSeq and is a predicted model, not a curated record. NCBI's taxonomy places the organism in Eukaryota, Metazoa, Chordata, Amphibia, Anura, Hylidae.
CCUCUACACAGGUUUGGAUAACAUUGGUUCCUGUCUUCUUCUGUCUGUUGAUUGGUCUGAUGCUCUGGGAGCCUCUCAUGUCUUCACCUUGGCCAGGACAAAAUUUGCGCUAGAGGCGGGGCCACCAUUGUUGCAGUGCGGCCGAGACAUUACAGCACUAGUCAGGUGUUCAGAGGGAGCCUGUCUUUGCUUUAGCGGGUGGAAUGACCACUAUGUGGCCGAUCAUUCUGAAAGAACUGGCAACAGCUGGAGGCACCCUGGUCAGAAAAUACUGGUCUAUUGCAUUGAAGGCAGCACAGGCCGGAGCGCCCCCCGGUGAAAUCUGACGGGGUGAAGUAGCUUUAUUAUUGGAACAUGGCAGAUGCUGGAAAUCAAUUUGUUGCUGAUGCUCUUUAGCACUAAGACUCCUCGAUGCGCGGUAAGACAAUGGACCCCGGCAUGCGAAUGAAAGGCCGGCAGAUCGAUGACGCUAGAGGCGCGAUAGUCUGCAGAAUUCUUAACUAUUAUAUGUUUUUCUAAUGCAAAGUACUAGAGACAACAAUU